AUGGAAGCAGCGAUAGAUGUUGACGAUGACGAGGACACAGAUGCGGAUGAAUCAGAGGAGGAGGACAAGGAUGAGGAUGACAAUGAAGAAGAUGUAGAGGAGGAGGAGGAGGAAGAGGAGGAGGAGGAGGAGGACAAACAAGAAGAGGACAAAGGAGAGGAGGAGGACAAGGAAGAAGAUAGUGAGGCAGAGGAGGAGGAAGAAGAAGGUGAGGCCAAAGAGGGGGACGGGGACAAAGGUGCAGCAGUUGAUGGCAGUGAGAGGGGAGAAGACAAAGGCGCAGCAGUUGAUGGCAGUGAGAGGGAAGAAGAUGACGAUGAAGAAGAUGAGGAUGGUUAUGGCAUCACAAAGGAGCAAAUGAUGAAGCUACCAGGGAGGCAUUAUUGGCUCUUCAAUGUCAACUUGAGGGACGGACGCUUCGAAGUUCUUGACUCAAACAGGACGCUGGACAACAUUGAGCUGAUGACCACCGCCUCUACCAUCGCGGGGGCAGUACGCCAGCUAUGGAGGAGGAAGCAUUACCCAAAGUUCAGCAUCGAGCACUUCCAGAUUAUUGACAUUGACGUACCGAAGCAGCUUGGCAAUAAUGAGUGUGGGCUGUUCGCACUGCUUAACGCCACCGAGUGGAAUGGUAGCAAACUGCCCAACUACGAACCCAAGGAAGUACUCAACAUCAGGAAGAAGCUGGCAUAUGAUUGGGUCACCAGCGUGCACAACACCGCCCCAUGGAGGAAGUUGCUGAGAUACGACAAGGACUAG
This 759-nucleotide ribosomal RNA is filed under the name Triticum aestivum (bread wheat). RNAcentral describes it as "partial small subunit ribosomal RNA". Lineage: Eukaryota; Viridiplantae; Streptophyta; Magnoliopsida; Poales; Poaceae. The record is from RNAcentral.